Molecule: non-coding RNA, 146 nt
Organism: Gossypium hirsutum (cotton)
Lineage: Eukaryota; Viridiplantae; Streptophyta; Magnoliopsida; Malvales; Malvaceae
Source: Rfam
UAUUAGAAAUUUUUAUCCAUUUAUAUUAUUAAAAACUAGUAUGGCUGGUGGAAUAAUCAGACAGUGACAUAUGUCAUGCCACGUGUAUCCCAUGUUGAUGUCCAGGGACAAGUUUUUAACGGUAGAAAUGAAUAGAAUUUUUAAUA